CCCGUGGUUCAGCCCACGGUAGCCUAGGGGUAGGGCAUGUCCGGUAACGGAUUUGUCUGAAGCACCCUGACAAUGUACCCACCCGCAAGGGUUAGCGUGUUCCCGCGAGGGGCGCGUUAGAUUCUGCCAGCAUCAGGUGGAUGAGGG
Molecule: non-coding RNA, 147 nt
Filed under: uncultured Aeromonas sp.
Lineage: Bacteria; Pseudomonadati; Pseudomonadota; Gammaproteobacteria; Aeromonadales; Aeromonadaceae
Source: RNAcentral